This 484-nucleotide ribosomal RNA is filed under the name uncultured bacterium. RNAcentral describes it as "partial 16S ribosomal RNA". It matches the Rfam family "Bacterial small subunit ribosomal RNA", at positions 30 to 507 of the family's 1533-position model. The record is from RNAcentral.
AUUGAACGCUGGCGGCAGGCCUAACACAUGCGAGUCGAGCGGAUGAAGGGAGCUUGCUCCUGGAUUCAGCGGCGGACGGGUGAGUAAUGCCUAGGAAUCUGCCUGGUAGUGGGGGAUAACGUCCGGAAACGGGCGCUAAUACCGCAUACGUCCUGAGGGAGAAAGUGGGGGAUCUUCGGACCUCACGCUAUCAGAUGAGCCUAGGUCGGAUUAGGUAGUUGGUGGGGUAAAGGCCUACCAAGGCGACGAUCCGUAACUGGUCUGAGAGGAUGAUCAGUCACACUGGAACUGAGACACGGUCCAGACUCCUACGGGAGGCAGCAGUGGGGAAUAUUGGACAAUGGGCGAAAGCCUGAUCCAGCCAUGCCGCGUGUGUGAAGAAGGUCUUCGGAUUGUAAAGCACUUUAAGUUGGGAGGAAGGGCAGUAAGUUAAUACCUUGCUGUUUUGACGUUACCAACAGAAUAAGCACCGGCUAACUUCGUG